UACAGAGGUGGCAAGCGUUGUUCGGAAUUAUUGGGCGUAAAGGGCGCGUAGGCGGCUGAGCAAGUCGAACGUGAAAUCCCUGGGCUUAACCCAGGAAGUGCAUUUGAUACUGCUCAACUUGAGUCCCGGAGAGGGUGGUGGAAUUCCCAGUGUAGAGGUGAAAUUCGUAGAUAUUGGGAGGAACACCGGUGGCGAAGGCGACCACCUGGACGGAGACUGACGCUGAGGCGCGAAAGCGUGGGGAGCAAACAGG
This 253-nucleotide ribosomal RNA is filed under the name uncultured bacterium. RNAcentral describes it as "partial 16S ribosomal RNA". It matches the Rfam family "Bacterial small subunit ribosomal RNA", at positions 524 to 776 of the family's 1533-position model. The record is from RNAcentral.